UGGGGAAUUUUGGACAAUGGGCGAAAGCCUGAUCCAGCAAUGCCGCGUGUGUGAAGAAGGCCUUCGGGUUGUAAAGCACUUUUGUCCGGAAAGAAAUCCUUGGCUCUAAUACAGUCGGGGGAUGACGGUACCGGAAGAAUAAGCACCGGCUAACUACGUGCCAGCAGCCGCGGUAAUACGUAGGGUGCAAGCGUUAAUCGGAAUUACUGGGCGUAAAGCGUGCGCAGGCGGUUUGCUAAGACCGAUGUGAAAUCCCCGGGCUCAACCUGGGAACUGCAUUGGUGACUGGCAGGCUAGAGUAUGGCAGAGGGGGGUAGAAUUCCACGUGUAGCAGUGAAAUGCGUAGAGAUGUGGAGGAAUACCGAUGGCGAAGGCAGCCCCCUGGGCCAAUACUGACGCUCAUGCACGAAAGCGUGGGGAGCAAACAGGAUUAGAUACCCUGGUAGUCCACGCCCUAAACGAUGUCAACUAGUUGUUGGGGAUUCAUUUCCUUAGUAACGUGGCUAACGCGUGAAGUUGACCGCCUGGGGAGUACGGUCGCAAGAUUAAAACUCAAAGGAAUUGACGGGGUCAUAGCUGUUUCCU
Molecule: ribosomal RNA, 585 nt
Filed under: uncultured bacterium
Lineage: Bacteria
Description: partial 16S ribosomal RNA
Rfam family: Bacterial small subunit ribosomal RNA
Source: RNAcentral